This is a long non-coding RNA of Papaver somniferum (opium poppy), 521 nucleotides long. RefSeq lists it as uncharacterized. Lineage: Eukaryota; Viridiplantae; Streptophyta; Magnoliopsida; Ranunculales; Papaveraceae. The record is from RefSeq and is a predicted model, not a curated record. The transcript has 2 exons.
UCUGAAGAAGAAUUAUUCCUCAUUUUGCUAUUUCAAGAGUUCGAGAAGAAAAAGUUGCAGAAUGGGGGGAGAUGCAGGAUCUAAAGUUCUUCGAUUAUUCUCCUUCUUGGGCGCUGGAGUUAUCUGUGCAUCUGCAAUUAAUCUUUAUCGUGAUAUUGAGAGGAAAAAGUUGACACAGAAACAGAUUGCUGAGGAAAUUGUUGAAAAGGGGAAUAUGGUAAGCAAAGCUACUGUUGAGUAAACAGAUUAGGGUUGUAGGUUUCUAUUUCAAAUGGAAGUAGUAAUUUGUUGGUGUGAUUGUUUGAUUUUGGUAUAAUCUGUACUGAGAAAUAAGGGGUCUUUUGAUCAAUCUUUUCUGUCAUUAGAAUUUGGGUAUGAUGAUUUAUGCUGUUAACACUAAGAAUUUCCAUUAUGUAAAUUAGCUUGGAAAUUUUCAUAAUCCAUCCAAUUAACACCAAAAUAACCUGCUGUCAAACUAAGCUAUCUUGUUUAAAUAUCUACAAAUCUUUUUUCAGUGUGUA